GCCUGGGUGGCUCAGUCAGGUAAGCGCCUGACUUCGGCUCAGGUCAUGAUCUCGCGGUUCGUGGGUUCGAGCCCUGCAUCAGGCU
This 85-nucleotide transfer RNA is filed under the name Felis catus (domestic cat). It matches the Rfam family "tRNA". Rfam says of the family: Transfer RNA (tRNA) molecules are approximately 80 nucleotides in length. Their secondary structure includes four short double-helical elements and three loops (D, anti-codon, and T loops). The record is from Rfam by way of RNAcentral. Lineage: Eukaryota; Metazoa; Chordata; Mammalia; Carnivora; Felidae.